AUUGAACGCUGGCGGCAGGCCUAACACAUGCAAGUCGAGCGGAUGAAGGGAGCUUGCUCCUGGAUUCAGCGGCGGACGGGUGAGUAAUGCCUAGGAAUCUGCCUGGUAGUGGGGGAUAACGUCCGGAAACGGGCGCUAAUACCGCAUACGUCCUGAGGGAGAAAGUGGGGGAUCUUCGGACCUCACGCUAUCAGAUGAGCCUAGGUCGGAUUAGCUAGUUGGUGGGGUAAAGGCCUACCAGGGCGACGAUCCGUAACUGGUCUGAGAGGAUGAUCAGUCACACUGGAACUGAGACACGGUCCAGACUCCUACGGGAGGCAGCAGUGGGGAAUAUUGGACAAUGGGCGAAAGCCUGAUCCAGCUAUGCCGCGUGUGUGAAGAAGGUCUUCGGAUUGUAAAGCACUUUAAGUUGGGAGGAAGGGCAGUAAGUUAAUACCUUGCUGUUUUGACGUUACCAACAGAAUAAGCACCGGCUAACUUCGUG
This 484-nucleotide ribosomal RNA is filed under the name uncultured bacterium. Its description in RNAcentral is "partial 16S ribosomal RNA". It matches the Rfam family "Bacterial small subunit ribosomal RNA", at positions 30 to 507 of the family's 1533-position model. The record is from RNAcentral.